UGGGGAAUAUUGGACAAUGGGGGCAACCCUGAUCCAGCAAUGCCGCGUGUGCGAAGAAGGCCUGCGGGUUGUAAAGCACUUUCAGUAGGGAAGAAAAGCCUGGGGCUAAUACCUCCGGGUCUUGACGUUACCUAAAGAAGAAGCACCGGCUAACUCCGUGCCAGCAGCCGCGGUAAUACGGAGGGUGCGAGCGUUAAUCGGAAUUACUGGGCGUAAAGCGCACGUAGGCGGUCUGGUAAGUCGGAUGUGAAAGCCCCGGGCUUAACCGGGGAAUUGCAUUCGAUACUGCCUGACUGGAGUAUGGGAGAGNGAAGCGGAAUUUCCGGUGUAGCGGUGAAAUGCGUAGAUAUCGGAAGGAACAUCAAUGGCGAAGGCAGCUUCCUGGCCCAAUACUGACGCUGAGGUGCGAAAGCGUGGGGAUCAAACA
Molecule: ribosomal RNA, 427 nt
Filed under: uncultured bacterium
Lineage: Bacteria
Description: bacterial SSU rRNA
Rfam family: Bacterial small subunit ribosomal RNA
Source: RNAcentral